This 795-nucleotide long non-coding RNA is filed under the name Chrysolophus pictus (golden pheasant). RNAcentral's name for it is "lncRNA (ENSCPIG00010010608.1)". Lineage: Eukaryota; Metazoa; Chordata; Aves; Galliformes; Phasianidae. The record is from RNAcentral.
UUGGAACAAUGUGCUGUUACCUUAACAACAUCGUGUCUUCUACAGGGGCUCUACUGCAUUUCUGUUAAUUGCAUGGACAAUGCAGAAGCACAGUUUACUACAGCACUGAGGGUAAGGUUUUCCUUCUCACAAUAUUCACUGUGGUCGCUGGGCUUGUGAUUGUGUGGGGCACCAGAUAGUGAGGCUGAAAGUCUAAAGACUGUCUGUAUGAGUUGCAUUAGUUCAGAUUUUCCUCUGCUGAACAGAGUUCAGGUCAGGAGAAUUUGUAGCACAGGCACCAAAUCUGAGCAUUUUCUUUCUUUUUGUGUAUAUUAAAGAUGGGUUGAACUGAUUCUGGGUUAGGCACUGAAGUAUUUUGACUGUGCUGUUGGUGUGCUUUGUUUUAGCUCACUACACACCAGGAGCUGUGGGCAUUCAUUGUGACAAACUUGGCCAGUGUGUACAUCAGGGAAGGCAACCGGCACCAGGAGCUUUACAGCUUAUUGGAAAGGAUAAAUCCAGACCACAAUUUUCCUGUGAGCUCCCACUGCCUUCGAGCAGCAGCUUUCUAUAUCCGAGGUCUGUUCUCCUUCUUCCAAGGAAGAUACAACGAGGCAAAGUGAGUACAAAGCGCUGCACCUGGAAGGUGGGGAGAAGGAAAAACCAGAUCAGGAUUUAAACUCAACGUGAAAACUCAGAUGCUUUGCUUUCCAACCUCCUGGGUUCCCCGUGGGUUUAGCCAACCUUCUGUUUCGCUUGAGGCAAAGACUGUUUUACAUCUCUUUUGCUCUGAGUAAUACUUGUGCGGUGUUCUGC